CCCCUAGAUGUUCUGGGCCGCACGCGCGCUACACUGAACAGUUCAACAAGUCUUAACCUUGGCCGAUAGGUCUGGGUAAUCUUUGAACGCUGUUCGUGAUUGGGAUAGACCUUUGCAAUUAUGGGUCUUCAACGAGGAAUUCCUAGUAAACGCAAGUCAUCAGCUUGCAUUGAUUACGUCCCUGCCCUUUGUACACACCGCCCGUCGCACCUACCGAUUGAAUGGUCCGGUGAAAUCUCGGGACGGCGGCUUGGUCGCUUGCGUCCGACUGCUGAAACUUGAUUUAACCAUAUCAUUUAGAGGAAGGUGAAGUCGUAACA
RNAcentral lists this ribosomal RNA (320 nucleotides) under uncultured eukaryote. RNAcentral's name for it is "partial 18S ribosomal RNA". It matches the Rfam family "Eukaryotic small subunit ribosomal RNA", at positions 1470 to 1796 of the family's 1831-position model. The record is from RNAcentral.